Molecule: long non-coding RNA, 488 nt
Organism: Vespa crabro (European hornet)
Lineage: Eukaryota; Metazoa; Arthropoda; Insecta; Hymenoptera; Vespidae
Exons: 3
Source: RefSeq, a predicted model, not a curated record
AAAAGAAUUAAUAGUCACCUAGAAGCCAUGAUAUCGCCGAAACUGUGAACCGCAUCACGAUAAUUAGACUCUAAGUCGCCCCUCUGCUUCAAAGAAGUACCAAGAGCUGCUUCUAUAAAUGUUAUAAGAUACCGUGCUUCAUUGUUUAAAGUGACAACGAAGUGUUUCAGGAUAUUAAAGUGAAAGGCUGGUGUCAAUAUCUUUCGACGUGUUUGCCAUUUCUCACCUAUCAAAUGAAACAUAAAACGUUAAAUAAUAUUAAGCACGUUUACUGAAUUUCUAUUUGUCCAAACUAUUACCUCCACUGGUUAGCAAUCCGGUAGACAGCCAAGGUCUCAAGAAAUGUGAACAUUCGAAAUAAGAGAGAGAGAGAGAGAGAAAGAAGGAGAGAGGAAGAAACAGAUAAAAAACGUAUUCUACUCAUGUCGCAUAAUAAUUUACCUCAAUAUCAUCCGGAUGAAGUAAAACUACUACCCAAAAAUAAAAGC